RNAcentral lists this ribosomal RNA (355 nucleotides) under uncultured bacterium. Its description in RNAcentral is "bacterial SSU rRNA". It matches the Rfam family "Bacterial small subunit ribosomal RNA", at positions 22 to 356 of the family's 1533-position model. The record is from RNAcentral.
GCUCAGGAUGAACGCUGGCGGCGUGCUUAACACAUGCAAGUCGAACGAAGAUACUUAAAAUGAGAGCUUCGGCAGGAUUUUUAUUUAUCUUAGUGGCGGACGGGUGAGUAACGUGUGGGCAACCUGCCCUAUACUGGGGGAUAAUCGCUGGAAACGGUGACUAAUACCGCAUGUCAUUACGGAAGGGCAUCCUUCUGUAAGAAAAGGAGUAAUUCGGUAUAGGAUGGGCCCGCAUCUGAUUAGCUAGUUGGUGAGAUAACAGCCCACCAAGGCGACGAUCAGUAGCCGACCUGAGAGGGUGAUCGGCCACAUUGGGACUGAGACACGGCCCAAACUCCUACGGGAGGCAGCAGUA